RNAcentral lists this ribosomal RNA (254 nucleotides) under uncultured bacterium. RNAcentral's name for it is "partial 16S ribosomal RNA". It matches the Rfam family "Bacterial small subunit ribosomal RNA", at positions 524 to 776 of the family's 1533-position model. The record is from RNAcentral.
UACGUAGGGAGCAAGCGUUGUCCGGAUUUAUUGGGCGUAAAGAGCUCGUAGGCGGCUUAGCAAGUCAGAUGUGAAAACUCCAGGCUCAACCUGGAGACGCCAUUUGAUACUGCUAUGGCUUGAGUUCGGUAGGGGACCAUGGAAUUCCUGGUGUAGCGGUGAAAUGCGUAGAGAUCGGGAAGAACAUCGGUGGCGAAAGCGCUCUACUGGACCGCAACUGACACUCAGGGACGAAAGCUAGGGGAGCGAAUGGG